This 61-nucleotide transfer RNA is filed under the name Rattus norvegicus (Norway rat). Lineage: Eukaryota; Metazoa; Chordata; Mammalia; Rodentia; Muridae. The record is from Rfam by way of RNAcentral.
GGGGAUUUAGCUCAGUGGUAGAGCGCUUGCAGCAAGCGCAAGGCCCUGGGUUCAGUCCCCA